This 234-nucleotide ribosomal RNA is filed under the name uncultured bacterium. RNAcentral's name for it is "partial 16S ribosomal RNA". It matches the Rfam family "Bacterial small subunit ribosomal RNA", at positions 97 to 334 of the family's 1533-position model. The record is from RNAcentral.
GGCGGACGAGUGAGUAAUGCUUGGGAAUCUACCUUGUAGUGGGGGACAACUUCCGGAAACGGGAGCUAAUACCGCAUACGUCCUACGGGAGAAAGUGGGGGAUCUUCGGACCUCACGCUAUUGGAUGAGCCCAAGUCGGAUUAGCUUGUUGGUGGGGUAAUGGCCUACCAAGGCGACGAUCCGUAGCUGGUCUGAGAGGACGAUCAGCCACACUGGGACUGAGACACGGCCCAG